Molecule: non-coding RNA, 1135 nt
Organism: Cinara cedri
Lineage: Eukaryota; Metazoa; Arthropoda; Insecta; Hemiptera; Aphididae
Source: the annotation of a GenBank genome assembly
UUUCAUACUCGUGAUAAACUGCGGCUGUGGCAGGACAUGUCACUCGACGACAGAUGUAAUAAUUACUUUAAGUUUCGCAAGUUUAAAAACAUAUUGAAAUAUAUAAAGUCAAGUUAAACUAUAUAGUUGUAUAUACAAGUAACUGUAAAUGUAUUCAUUUUGUAACUCGAUUAAGUUAAAAGUUAAUAUGUUUUUUCUUAUUAUUCUUUUCGUGUCGGUCUUCAACUUUAUAUUUCCUCUCCUUCCCAACAAGUAGUGAUUUAUAUCACCUUGUCUGUAAUAUCAUUUGCCAUUGUAAAUUCUUCUUUUAUACACUUAGCCCGAGCACGUUAACAGAUGGUCUACAUCUUGAUGCUCCCCCAAUUACAUUUUCCGUUCAUUUUCAUUCCCUAUAUCUUUAUACUAUUACCAUCAGUCCUUCCAGUUUCGGUUAUUAUCCUAUUAAGUGGCUUCUAUGUUGUCCAUGAUAAGAAGCUGCCAAGGGAUGCAUUUUCUUUUGGGUUCCUUCCAUACUUGUGAGUUUGUAUCUUUUGUUUCCUCCUUCCACAAGUCUAUUCUUGUUGCUUCGGGUGUUUGUGGUAGACUAGUUUUUGUGGUCAUAAAGUUUUUCCUCGACUUAAGUCGACUCCCCGUUAAGUUAGUUUCAUAUAACGAAUGUCUUGCAUCCGUUUCUUAUUUUGUUUUUUAUAUCCUUACUGCUACCUCUAGUCUUACAUUUGGAGUUGUCAUUCCGUAUGAUGUUUGUACUUUUCAUUUGGGAGUUGGUUUGAAGUAUCCCGUGAUUAGUCUAUUUAUUGUAUUUAGUAUAAUGUCUAUGUUUUUGACGUGUGCUGCGUUCCUUCUUGCAGCACAAGUAUAUUCUCCAGUCGAAUAGUAUAAUGAUAACGCUGCUGUUCUUAAGAAAUGAGUGUCUGAACCUCAUUGUGAUCCAACCAAUUUCUGAAGAAAAUAGUUAGUAGAUAGUAAAUAGUUCUUAUAGCCACUAUUUAUUUUAUUUUUUUUUUGUACUUUCGUAACGACUUUCAUAUCGGGGGGUCGAUCGAGUUUGACGAUGGAAAACAGUUAUUUGUGUUAUUAACAGUGUUUUUGUCGUUAACCUUAGCUACAAUAUAUUAUAGUUUGGUUUCUACUAAAA